This 725-nucleotide long non-coding RNA is filed under the name Solanum tuberosum (potato). RNAcentral describes it as "long non-coding RNA (STUB_LNC004829)". Lineage: Eukaryota; Viridiplantae; Streptophyta; Magnoliopsida; Solanales; Solanaceae. The record is from RNAcentral.
CAAAGGAGAAUGGGCAUAACAUUACAUUUGUGUGCUCUGUUAAAGGAAGUAAUGUUGUAUAGAGAACUUCUACUGGAAAAAGUAAAAAUUAUUGUGUUCCAUCUUCUGAUAAAAAUGAACUAGCACACAAUAGGAACCUUAUGCAACCUGGUUUUGAUCGAAUAAAGGUUGAUACUUUCUUUCCUCAUGAUGAUCUUGAAGUAAUGGGAAGAGGAAAUAGAUUUACAUCUUUGAGCUCUAUAAGAGGAGGUAUCGAAAAGAGAAUUAUGAUUGGAAACAACAAAGGUUUAAAUUCUGCAACAUAUAUUCAAAAUGUCGUUGCACAGAAGAUUAAUGUCCUCCCUCCUGGAUUUGAUGCACUGGAAGAUGAAACUUCCUUUCCUAAUGAUGAUCUCGAAGUCAUGCAAGAGACUGUGACAAGAAAACUAGGUUUCUAAUCUUAUUUCAUUUUCUUAGUAUGAAAAAAUUAUUAUUGUUAGAUUAUUAAGGUUGUUUAAUGUUUGAAUUGUAUCAAAAGAAAAUGGGCAUAACGUUACAUCUGUGUGCUCUGUUAAAUGAAGUAAUGUUGUACAGAGAACUUCUAUUGGAAAAAGUAAAAAUUAUUGUGUUCCAUCUUCUGAUGAAAAUGAACUAGCACACAAUAAGAACCUUAUGCAACCUGGUUUAGAUCCAAUAGAGGUUGACACUUUCUUUCCUCAUGAUGAUCUUGAAGUAAUGGGACGAGG